GUUAUUUUAUUCUACAAAGACUUUGGGAAUGUUUCUAUAUGACCAGCUUGAGGGAAAUGCCUCUAUCACAAAAGAUAGAUUUCUAAAACCUUGAUGAUUUGAAUCGAUCCUGGGUCUGUGCUGGAUUAUCAACUCGCCUUCAAGAAUACAAAUCUGAAAAUGCACAACUAGAGGAACUUCUCACUGUAGAGAGAGAGCUGAGUAAAUCAUAUGAAGCUAACAUAAAACAGCUACAGAAGGAUUUGUCUGAAAGUAAAAGGGAAGUAACAAGAGUUGAAUCAAAUAUGGUUGAGGCCUUGGCAGCCAAAAAUGCUGAAAUUGAGGCACUUCUAAGUUCCAUGGAUGCACUUAAGAGGCAGGCUGCACAAUCUGAAGGAAAUCUAGCUUUCAUUUAGGUUCUUCUUUGUUAA
Molecule: non-coding RNA, 410 nt
Organism: Arachis ipaensis
Lineage: Eukaryota; Viridiplantae; Streptophyta; Magnoliopsida; Fabales; Fabaceae
Source: RefSeq, a predicted model, not a curated record